AACGAACGCUGGCGGCAGGCCUAACACAUGCAAGUCGAACGCUCCGCAAGGAGAGUGGCAGACGGGUGAGUAACGCGUGGGAAUUUCCCCCAAGGUUCGGAACAACUGAGGGAAACUUCAGCUAAUACCGAAUGGUACCGAGAGGUUAAAGAUUUAUCGCCUUGGGAUGAGCCCGCGUUGGAUUAGCUAGUUGGUGAGGUAACGGCUCACCAAGGCUGUGAUCCAUAGCUGGUCUGAGAGGACGACCAGCCACACUGGGACUGAGACACGGCCCAGACUUCUACGGAAGGCAGCAGUGGGGAAUCUUGGACAAUGGGCGCAAGCCUGAUCCAGCCAUGCCGCGUGGGCGAUGAAGGUCUUCGGAUUGUAAAGCCCUUUUGGCGGGGACGAUAAUGACGGUACCCGCAGAAUAAAGCUCCGGCUAACUUCGUGCCAGCAGCCGCGGUAAUACGAAGGGGGCUAGCGUGUUCGGAAUUACUGGCGUAAGACGUGCGCAGGCGGUC
Molecule: ribosomal RNA, 503 nt
Filed under: uncultured bacterium
Lineage: Bacteria
Description: bacterial SSU rRNA
Rfam family: Bacterial small subunit ribosomal RNA
Source: RNAcentral